AGCAGUAGCCGCGGUAAUACGAAGGGUGCAAGCGUUACUCGGAAUUACUGGGCGUAAAGCGUGCGUAGGUGGUUGUUUAAGUCUGUUGUGAAAGCCCUGGGCUCAACCUGGGAAUUGCAGUGGAUACUGGGCAACUAGAGUGUGGUAGAGGGUAGUGGAAUUCCCGGUGUAGCAGUGAAAUGCGUAGAGAUCGGGAGGAACAUCCAUGGCGAAGGCAGCUACCUGGACCAACACUGACACUGAGGCACGAAAGCGUGGGGAGCAAACAGGAUUAGAUACCCCCGUAGUCCCUGUCUCUUAUAC
This 303-nucleotide ribosomal RNA is filed under the name uncultured bacterium. RNAcentral's name for it is "partial 16S ribosomal RNA". It matches the Rfam family "Bacterial small subunit ribosomal RNA", at positions 507 to 807 of the family's 1533-position model. The record is from RNAcentral.